CUCGAUUUAAGUCAUCUCUAUAAAUUCGGUACAUGCGCUAUUUGGGGUAGGCUUUUCAAAUAAAUCGAAAUCGGAACCAUUGCUGGCCAAUUAUGUUUCCUGUUUCAAAAUCCAAGAAAAAUCUUUCUCACAGUGUUCUCUCUCCUUAUCUCCUCACGUACACUACGCAGAUUUUUCUAGUCUUCGUUCUCAUCCACGCACGGGAGGAAAAUCUUCUCUGCGCUUCUAUCCACCACCGCUCAAUCGUUUGAUUUUUUUUUUCGCGCAAGCUUCUUACCUCCUGCGCGCAGAUUGCUUCUUCCUGCUGCACGGCAUGCCGGAGAAAGAUAUGUCUCUCAGAUUUUUUCUUCUCUACCGAUUGCUUUGCUCCUGGCGUGAUUUUUUUUCUCUGCGAUUGAUCUCAUCCCUGCACGGCUCUAGUGGAAAAAUCCCGCCGCCCCUGGGCGCUUCAAAAAUCCAGCCGACGCUCGCCCCUAUCUUCUUCCUCAGCCCAGCCGUCUUCCUGGGCAACCGCGUCUCCUUCUUCCUCCCCCUGCGUCCCUGUUCGGUUCCUGCGCACGCUGACUCCCUGCGUCGCGAGCUUCAGCUCGGAUUCCCCCUCCCAUGGCUGCCGAGCAGCUCGCCGGAAUUCCACGCUCGGUGCCUGGAUCUCCCUCC
This 657-nucleotide unclassified non-coding RNA is filed under the name Zea mays. RNAcentral describes it as "misc RNA Zm00001eb346610". Lineage: Eukaryota; Viridiplantae; Streptophyta; Magnoliopsida; Poales; Poaceae. The record is from RNAcentral.